RNAcentral lists this ribosomal RNA (253 nucleotides) under uncultured bacterium. Its description in RNAcentral is "partial 16S ribosomal RNA". It matches the Rfam family "Bacterial small subunit ribosomal RNA", at positions 524 to 776 of the family's 1533-position model. The record is from RNAcentral.
UACGUAGGGUGCGAGCGUUGUCCGGAAUUAUUGGGCGUAAAGGGCUCGUAGGCGGUUUGUCGCGUCGGGAGUGAAAUCCACUGGCUUAACUGGUGGCUUGCUUUCGAUACGGGCAGACUGGAGGUAUGCAGGGGAGAGCGGAAUUCCUGGUGUAGCGGUGAAAUGCGCAGAUAUCGGGAGGAACACCGGUGGCGAAGGCGGUUCUCUGGGCCUGUACUGACGCUGAGGAGCGAAAGCGUGGGGAGCGAACAGG